GACGAACCGUGCGAACGUUAUUCGGAAUCAUUGGGCUUAAAGGGCGCGUAGGCGGCGGUGUAAGUUGGAAGUGAAAUCCCAUCGGCUCAACCGUGGAAUUGCUCCCAGUACUGCAUCGCUCGAGGGGGAUAGGGGUUUGCGGAACUACCAGUGGAGCGGUGAAAUGUGUUGAUAUCGGUGGGAACGCCAGUGGCGAAAGCGGCAAACUUGACCCUUCCUGACGCUGAGGCGCGAAAGCUAGGGGAGCAAACGGG
This 254-nucleotide ribosomal RNA is filed under the name uncultured bacterium. RNAcentral's name for it is "partial 16S ribosomal RNA". It matches the Rfam family "Bacterial small subunit ribosomal RNA", at positions 524 to 776 of the family's 1533-position model. The record is from RNAcentral.